AUCAUUUUUAGCAGGACUCUGCUUGAAGAUGUGGCAGCCUUCAGUCAAGGUCAUGUCUAGAGGCUCAAUACUGGGUAGUAUGAACACCCUGCAUCUGGAGGGCUCGAAAAUUUGAGGCUUACACUGAAACAAGUUUGGAUUGUCUGCAUCUCUCUCUAUUGAGGUCCCUCUGGCAUAGAGCACUGAAAUGCUAGUUCAACUAGCACCUAGGUGCUAGUUCAUAGACCCUGAAACCCCCAGGCUGGGGGUCUUGGCCUGCUGUCCUGCAGUCUGGUAAUGUGGCUGUGACUCAAACUGCUGCAUGACCGUGGGCCAUGCUACCACGAUCCCAGGCAUCCCAGAGACCCCAGAAUCAUAGGCACUAGUUCAACUAGUGCCUAUGAACUAGCAUUUUUCCCUCAUAGUCGACAGAAGAUCCCUGUUCUCCCAGCCCUUGGGCAGGCCCUAGGGUAGGAAGGUUGGAGGACACACAAGCAUAGUGCCUCUUUCCCAGGUUUUCCUCUGGGCAUGCCUGAUCCACUGUGGCCAGCUGGGGGGCACCCCCCUGCAGGAAAUCCUCCAGGGUGGGACCAUGGGGCCAAUAUCUGACCUGGACCCUGGAACUUCGGCAAGAUGCCCUUGGCAACAGUCACGAGCACUGAGCCCUCCUCUGGAUGGAGAAACCCUCCCUCUGGGCCUAGCCCUCAUCCAUAAAAUGGGGCUUUGCUAGGGGUACGCUCAGUCCCCUCCAAGCACUAGUAUUCCCAGAUAAACCUACGAAUGAUGCCCAGUCAAUGUUUUUGUUUGUUUUUGGUUUUUUUUUUGUUUUUUGCAGAGGACGAGGGAAAAUGUCUGGACCACUGCUGGCCUAACAGUUCACAGAAAGCUGCCACUGUGCACUGGAAAGGAAUGAGAUGCCUGAGUAGCCCAGGAGGAGGCUGCCAAGGGGCACAGCAGAGUUUGCCUUGAAGCCACAGACUGGACCUUUAAUUCCAUCCCAUCUGUCUGAUCAGUCACCGAUGCUCCCCAUGCCUUAGUUUAUCAAUAAAAUGAUAAAAUGAUGUGUUGUGAUGACUAGUACAUAUGUAGAUUUCAGCUCAUAUGAAAUCAUAGGGACGAGCCUGGCCAAUAGGGUGAAACCCAGUCUCUACUAAAAAAUACAGAAAUUCCCCAGGCAUGGUGGCGCGUGCUUGUAAUCCCAGCUACUUGGGAGGCUGAGGCAGGAGAAUCGCUUGAACGGGGGAGGUUGGGGGGGCGGAGGUUGCAGUGAGCUGAGAUCGCACCACUGCACUCCAGCCCAGGAAAAAGUGCAAGACUCUGUCUCACAAAAAAAGAAAGAAAUCAUAGUUACACCAUAAAGAGAACAACUGAUGUCCCCCAAACUCAACUGUUCUCCCCUACUGCCUAGUCUGUCUGGGUCCUCAGUCUGAGCUCAAGAGGCCACUCAUACACUCCUGAUGGCCCCC
RNAcentral lists this long non-coding RNA (1445 nucleotides) under Macaca mulatta (Rhesus monkey). Its description in RNAcentral is "lncRNA (ENSMMUG00000057708.1)". Lineage: Eukaryota; Metazoa; Chordata; Mammalia; Primates; Cercopithecidae. The record is from RNAcentral.